RNAcentral lists this ribosomal RNA (358 nucleotides) under Poecilochaetus sp. GF-16630_21377. Its description in RNAcentral is "partial large subunit ribosomal RNA". It matches the Rfam family "Bacterial large subunit ribosomal RNA", at positions 1948 to 2522 of the family's 2925-position model. Lineage: Eukaryota; Metazoa; Annelida; Polychaeta; Spionida; Poecilochaetidae. The record is from RNAcentral.
GUGCAAAGGUAGCAUAAUCAUUUGCCUCUUAAUUAGAGGCUAGUAUGAAUGGACAAACGUGAGUCAAGCUGUCUCUUCUCUAUAAAUAAAAAUUAAUCUUUAGGUGAAAAAGCCUAAAUUCUAUAAAAAGACAAAAAGACCCUAUUGAGUUUUAUUACAUAAGCUUUAACCUAUAAUAAAAUAAAUUUCUCAAGUCAAAAGUAAUUUAGUUGGGGCGACUGAGGAAAAGAAUAAAUCUUCCUUAAGUUUAAAGAUAAAAUCCUAUUUAAUGAUCCGCAGAAGCGAUUAAAAGAAAUAACUACCAUAGGGAUAACAGGCUAAUUUCCUUCAAGAGCCCAUAUUGACAAGGAGGUUUGGC